This 352-nucleotide ribosomal RNA is filed under the name uncultured bacterium. RNAcentral's name for it is "bacterial SSU rRNA". It matches the Rfam family "Bacterial small subunit ribosomal RNA", at positions 527 to 881 of the family's 1533-position model. The record is from RNAcentral.
GUAGGUGGCGAGCGUUAUCCGGAUUUACUGGGUGUAAAGGGUGUGUAGGCGGGACUGCAAGUCGGAUGUGAAAAUCACAGGCUUAACCUGUGACCUGCAUUCGAAACUGUGGUUCUUGAUGGUCGGAGAGGUAACUGGAAUUCCUGGUGUAGCGGUGAAAUGCGUAGAUAUCAGGAGGAACACCGGUGGCGAAGGCGGGUUACUGGACGAUUACUGACGCUGAGACACGAAAGCGUGGGGAGCAAACAGGAUUAGAUACCCUGGUAGUCCACGCUGUAAACGAUGAAUGCUAGGUGUGGGGGUGCAAACUUCCGUGCCGCAGUUAACACAAUAAGCAUUCCACCUGGGGAGU